Molecule: ribosomal RNA, 493 nt
Filed under: uncultured bacterium
Lineage: Bacteria
Description: bacterial SSU rRNA
Rfam family: Bacterial small subunit ribosomal RNA
Source: RNAcentral
GUAGACGAGUUUGAUCAUGGCUCGAGGACGAACGCUGGCGGCGCGCCUAACACAUGCAAGUCGAACGAGCGAGAGAGAGCUUGCUUCUCGAGCGAGUGGCGAACGGGUGAGUAACGCGUGAGGAACCUGCCUCAAAGAGGGGGACAACAGUUGGAAACGACUGCUAAUACCGCAUAAGCCCACGACCCGGCAUCGGGUAGAGGGAAAAGGAGCAAUCCGCUUUGAGAUGGCCUCGCGUCCGAUUAGCUAGUUGGUGAGGUAAUGGCCCACCAAGGCGACGAUCGGUAGCCGGACUGAGAGGUUGAACGGCCACAUUGGGACUGAGACACGGCCCAGACUCCUACGGGAGGCAGCAGUGGGGAAUAUUGCACAAUGGGGGAAACCCUGAUGCAGCGACGCCGCGUGGAGGAAGAAGGUCUUCGGAUUGUAAACCUCUGUUUUCGGUGACGAACAAAUGACGGUAACCGAGUAGGAAGCCACGGCUAACUACGUG